Molecule: long non-coding RNA, 1240 nt
Organism: Apodemus sylvaticus (European woodmouse)
Lineage: Eukaryota; Metazoa; Chordata; Mammalia; Rodentia; Muridae
Exons: 3
Source: RefSeq, a predicted model, not a curated record
CCUGGGGCCUUCGAGGGUCACCCUGCAGUGUCCGGAUGAGUUCGUGAAGAGAGGACAUUGGAAAUGUGGUUGUGCUGCUGAAACACCAAAUUCCCCCUUAAUCAGUUGUGUUUAAACUCAACUGUUCGCAACCUUGUGCCCCCACCUGGGGAAGUGAGAAUUCACCUUGGGAGAAAAAGCCCAUAAUCCAGAAGACCACUGCAGCACUUCACAGCAACACAGUCCUCUACAAAGAUGUCGCCUGUGGUCCUGAAAAUGCCCGUCUGGUUAGGAUGAAGAAUGAUUCUAGGCUGGGAUUAUUUGUCCUGUCAUUAUUUGACUUGCUGCUUAACACUUUCCUGAGCAAGGUCCUAUCUCACAGCAACACUCUGAACUUCAGAGCUCUGUGUCAACUUGAAGAAGAAAAUGCCCAAGAGGAAAAGAGAAAACAGCAUGGGCACAGGAGGGACUGCAGGGAUUAUAACAACAGAAACCACUCAGGGCUUGGGGAAGUGGCAUCUCAGUAAGUAAAGCACUUCUAUGUAAGUGUGGGGUCUGAGUGUGAUUCCCAGAACCCAGGCAAAGUUAAGCACAGAUGAGAGGUAGAGAUGGGAGAAUCCCCAGAAGUGAGGCAGUCAAGCAUAGGGGACAAUUUACUAACCUGGAACUGUGCUUAGUUUAGGUUGUGCACACUUUCCUACUUUUUAACAUGCACUUAGCAGCCAGCAAUGCAGCUAAGUGCUCUAUUUACCUUCAAUAUGCACUUGAACCCCUUUCUGAGAACAAUGCCCUACCAACCUUGGACUCCAAUGGGCUUUGAACAAUGGGAGAGGAUUCUCCUCCCCUUACCAUACCAACCAUCAAACUCAGACAGUUUAUACCAAAAUGUAUUCCCAAUACAUUCUGAAGGGGCGGCCUGAACUGGUUUAGGAUACAUGUGCAAUAGGGCAAAACAGUGAAAACAGUGUCCUCAAGAGAACUUUUAAGAACAUUAUAUCUAUAAGUAAUUGAGUAUGCAUAUAAUUAAAAUCAUAAAUUAUGAGGGACACAAGCUAUAUGAAAAAUGAUUAUUUAGUCUUAUCUAUUGAUCAGCACAGAGAAACACUCUUACUAGAUCCUCAUAAUAACCAGAUUUCCUCCUCCUUUUGACUCCACAAAAGAAAUUCCCAAACAAUAGUCAGGACCCAAGUACCUUCCCUCAUGGCCAGCUGUCAAUCAUGACAAUAGGACCCUCUAUUCUGUACUGGUCCUUCUCUGUGAA